This 301-nucleotide ribosomal RNA is filed under the name uncultured bacterium. RNAcentral's name for it is "partial 16S ribosomal RNA". It matches the Rfam family "Bacterial small subunit ribosomal RNA", at positions 509 to 807 of the family's 1533-position model. The record is from RNAcentral.
CAGCAGCCGCGGUAAUACGGAGGAUCCAAGCGUUAUCCGGAAUCAUUGGGUUUAAAGGGUCCGUAGGCGGUCUUGUAAGUCAGUGGUGAAAGCCCAUCGCUCAACGGUGGAACGGCCAUUGAUACUGCAGGACUUGAAUUAUUGGGAAGUAACUAGAAUAUGUAGUGUAGCGGUGAAAUGCUUAGAGAUUACAUGGAAUACCAAUUGCGAAGGCAGGUUACUACCAAUUGAUUAACGCUGAUGGACGAAAGCGUGGGUAGCGAACAGGAUUAGAUACCCCCGUAGUCCCUGUCUCUUAUAC